RNAcentral lists this unclassified non-coding RNA (345 nucleotides) under soil metagenome. Its description in RNAcentral is "partial contains 5.8S ribosomal RNA, internal transcribed spacer 2, and large subunit ribosomal RNA". The stretch from base 1 to 120 matches the Rfam family "5.8S ribosomal RNA", at positions 35 to 154 of the family's 154-position model. The record is from RNAcentral.
GAUGAAGAACGUAGCGAAAUGCGAUACGUAAUGUGAAUUGCAGAAUUCAGUGAAUCAUCGAGUCUUUGAACGCACAUUGCCCCCCCUGGUAUUCCGGGGGGCAUGCCUGUCCGAGCGUCAUUGCUGCCCUCAAGCACGGCUUGUGUGUUGGGCCUCCGUCCUCCUCCCGGGGGACGGGCCCGAAAGGCAGCGGCGGCACCGCGUCCGGUCCUCGAGCGUAUGGGGCUUCGUCACCCGCUCUUGUAGGCCCGGCCGGCGCUUGCCGACACAUCAAUCUUUUUUCCAGGUUGACCUCGGAUCAGGUAGGGAUACCCGCUGAACUUAAGCAUAUCAAUAAGCGGAGGA